GAAAAAAACACAAAUUUUCUUGAAAACAGUGUAUUAUGUAUAUGCUCCCACCAAGCAGAACUUAAACAAGCGCAAUAGCACUCGAACUUCAUUGCUUCAAUAAGUACUCACACUUCAAUGCUUCAAAAUCAAAAGCCAUUAGCAUAAAGCACAGGCCACUCUCAAGAUUAACUUUUAAGCUUUCUUAAAUAUAAGUAUUGCAAUGCCUCAAAACAAAGAAGUCAAGCAAGAACAACGUCAUCUGGAACUCAAAAUAAUAAUAA
RNAcentral lists this unclassified non-coding RNA (263 nucleotides) under Hevea brasiliensis (rubber tree). Lineage: Eukaryota; Viridiplantae; Streptophyta; Magnoliopsida; Malpighiales; Euphorbiaceae. The record is from RNAcentral.